GAGAUUUGAAAAGGCCGCGCGGCGGCCGCGGCAACCGCCGCCGCCGCCUCACUCGGGCCGGUAGGAGGCUGCCCAGGGCCCGAGGUGUGGCGCCUUCGAAGUUGAAAGGCGGAGGAUGGGGGAGGAAGAAACCCCGGUUUUCCCUCCCUCCAGCGAGAGGCUUUUACAAAAGGUCGACUGGUUUAUCAUCUCCUACAGCGGCGGAGCAACUGGCAGUUGGAUGUUUCGCCCUGCAAAUUCAAGCCACGGAUUUUGCAGGUUUGCAUCCAGCUGUAUGAUACUCUGCUGUGCAAAUCCAUGCAAAACUGACUGUGGCAGUGAAAAGGCAAGAAAGUAUACUAAUUUGUACCCCUUUCUACACAGGUUGGGAUCGGUUGCAAUGCUGUAUUAAAUCUGUGGUAUUGCACUUGUCCCGGCCUGUUGAGGUUGGUGGGGCAAGAAUCUGCACACAACUUAAGGUCCCUUCUCAGUUAAUUGUUUGGGAGCAGCAAUUGCACUGGUGUAGUGAUCAAUGUAAUUCUUUGCAUCUAAAAUAAUUUUGAUUAAAUGGCACAAUGAUACUGUAAGUACUUUUUCUUCCACUGU
Long non-coding RNA from Thamnophis elegans (Western terrestrial garter snake), 585 nucleotides. RefSeq lists it as uncharacterized. The transcript is spliced from 3 exons. Lineage: Eukaryota; Metazoa; Chordata; Lepidosauria; Squamata; Natricidae. The record is from RefSeq and is a predicted model, not a curated record.